GGAAGCUGGGGGCCGGCAGGGGGGGGAAUAGAUGGGGUGCGGGCUGGGUCCGGAAUACAGGGGCGUAAAGGGGGGGUAGGGGGCCUGGCAAGGUGGGUGUGAAAGCGCAGGGCUCAACUCUGGGGCGGCCAUAGAUACUGGGAGGCGCGAGUCGACGAGAGGCAGAUGGAAUUCCGGGUGUAGCGGUGGAAUGCGUAGAGAUCCGGAAGAACACCGGUGGCGAAGGCGGUCUGCUGGGGUCGAACUGACGCUGAUGCGCGACAGCGUGGGGAGCAAACAGGAUUAGAUACCCCGGUAGUC
Molecule: ribosomal RNA, 300 nt
Filed under: uncultured Spirochaeta sp.
Lineage: Bacteria; Pseudomonadati; Spirochaetota; Spirochaetia; Spirochaetales; Spirochaetaceae
Description: partial 16S ribosomal RNA
Rfam family: Bacterial small subunit ribosomal RNA (bases 52-300)
Source: RNAcentral